RNAcentral lists this ribosomal RNA (207 nucleotides) under uncultured bacterium. RNAcentral describes it as "partial 16S ribosomal RNA". It matches the Rfam family "Bacterial small subunit ribosomal RNA", at positions 568 to 774 of the family's 1533-position model. The record is from RNAcentral.
AGCGCAGGCGGUUUCUUAAGUCUGAUGUGAAAGCCUUCGGCUCAACCGAAGAAGUGCAUCGGAAAUUGGGAAACUUGAGUGCAGAAGAGGACAGUGGAACUCCAUGUGUAGCGGUGAAAUGCGUAGAUAUAUGGAAGAACACCAGUGGCGAAGGCGGCUGUCUGGUCUGUAACUGACGCUGAGGCUCGAAAGCAUGGGUAGCAAACA